This 222-nucleotide long non-coding RNA is filed under the name Laticauda laticaudata (blue-ringed sea krait). RNAcentral describes it as "lncRNA (ENSLLTG00000008708.1)". Lineage: Eukaryota; Metazoa; Chordata; Lepidosauria; Squamata; Elapidae. The record is from RNAcentral.
CAUAAUUUCAGCCCUACUUUACAAAGAAGACAAACUCUGGGAUCUUCAAGCUCUAUGGAGAUCAUGCUAGAUCCAGGCUACAGUACGAUGGACAAAUUUGGUGGUGAAUUCAGCAGCAGGAAGAAUGUAACUGAUUCGGACGACUAUGAUGAUGUGGAUAUGUAAGUUCUGUCUUAACCACUUAUAGUUUAAAACUGGCUUGGGAAUUCUGGGAGUUGAAGU